RNAcentral lists this ribosomal RNA (650 nucleotides) under uncultured Glomus. Its description in RNAcentral is "SSU rRNA". It matches the Rfam family "Eukaryotic small subunit ribosomal RNA", at positions 624 to 1276 of the family's 1831-position model. Lineage: Eukaryota; Fungi; Glomeromycota; Glomeromycetes; Glomerales; Glomeraceae. The record is from RNAcentral.
AAGCUCGUAGUUGAAUUUCGGGAUCAAAUUGUCGGUCGUGCCUCGGUACGUACUGGCGUUAUUGGUUCCUCCCUUCUGAAGAACCGCGAUGUCAUUAAUUUGGUGUCGCGGGGAAUCAGGACUGUUACUUUGAAAAAAUUAGAGUGUUUAAAGCAGGCUCGCGCUUGAAUACAUUAGCAUGGAAUAAUGAAAUAGGACGUUUGAUUCUAUUUUGUUGGUUUCUAGGAUCGACGUAAUGAUUAAUAGGGAUAGUUGGGGGCAUUAGUAUUCAUUUGUCAGAGGUGAAAUUCUUGGAUUUAUUGAAGACUAACUACUGCGAAAGCAUUUGCCAAGGAUGUUUUCAUUAAUCAAGAACGAAAGUUAGGGGAUCGAAGACGAUCAGAUACCGUCGUAGUCUUAACCAUAAACUAUGCCGACUAGGGAUCGGAUGAUGUUAAUUUUUUAAUGACUCAUUCGGCGCCUUACGGGAAACCAAAGUGUUUGGGUUCCGGGGGGAGUACGGUCGCAAGGCUGAAACUUAAAGGAAUUGACGGAAGGGCACCACCAGGGGUGGAGCCUGCGGCUUAAUUUGACUCAACACGGGGAAACUCACCAGGUCCAGACAUAGUAAGGAUUGACAGAUUGAGAGCUCUUUCUUGAUUCUAUGGGUG